This 1358-nucleotide ribosomal RNA is filed under the name uncultured bacterium. RNAcentral's name for it is "bacterial SSU rRNA". It matches the Rfam family "Bacterial small subunit ribosomal RNA", at positions 28 to 1381 of the family's 1533-position model. The record is from RNAcentral.
GAUGAACGCUAGCUACAGGCUUAACACAUGCAAGUCGAGGGGCAGCAUGGUCUUAGCUUGCUAAGGCCGAUGGCGACCGGCGCACGGGUGAGUAACACGUAUCCAACCUGCCGUCUACUCUUGGACAGCCUUCUGAAAGGAAGAUUAAUACAAGAUGGCAUCAUGAGUCCACAUGUUCACAUGAUUAAAGGUAUUCCGGUAGACGAUGGGGAUGCGUUCCAUUAGAUAGUAGGCGGGGUAACGGCCCACCUAGUCUUCGAUGGAUAGGGGUUCUGAGAGGAAGGUCCCCCACAUUGGAACUGAGACACGGUCCAAACUCCUACGGGAGGCAGCAGUGAGGAAUAUUGGUCAAUGGGCGAGAGCCUGAACCAGCCAAGUAGCGUGAAGGAUGACUGCCCUAUGGGUUGUAAACUUCUUUUAUAAAGGAAUAAAGUCGGGUAUGGAUACCCGUUUGCAUGUACUUUAUGAAUAAGGAUCGGCUAACUCCGUGCCAGCAGCCGCGGUAAUACGGAGGAUCCGAGCGUUAUCCGGAUUUAUUGGGUUUAAAGGGAGCGUAGAUGGAUGUUUAAGUCAGUUGUGAAAGUUUGCGGCUCAACCGUAAAAUUGCAGUUGAUACUGGAUAUCUUGAGUGCAGUUGAGGCAGGCGGAAUUCGUGGUGUAGCGGUGAAAUGCUUAGAUAUCACGAAGAACUCCGAUUGCGAAGGCAGCUUGCUAAGCUGCAACUGACAUUGAGGCUCGAAAGUGUGGGUAUCAAACAGGAUUAGAUACCCUGGUAGUCCACACGGUAAACGAUGAAUACUCGCUGUUUGCGAUAUACAGCAAGCGGCCAAGCGAAAGCGUUAAGUAUUCCACCUGGGGAGUACGCCGGCAACGGUGAAACUCAAAGGAAUUGACGGGGGCCCGCACAAGCGGAGGAACAUGUGGUUUAAUUCGAUGAUACGCGAGGAACCUUACCCGGGCUUAAAUUGCAGAUGAAUUACGGUGAAAGCCGUAAGCCGCAAGGCAUCUGUGAAGGUGCUGCAUGGUUGUCGUCAGCUCGUGCCGUGAGGUGUCGGCUUAAGUGCCAUAACGAGCGCAACCCUUGUUGUCAGUUACUAACAGGUUCCGCUGAGGACUCUGACAAGACUGCCAUCGUAAGAUGUGAGGAAGGUGGGGAUGACGUCAAAUCAGCACGGCCCUUACGUCCGGGGCUACACACGUGUUACAAUGGGGGGUACAGAGGGCCGCUACCACGCGAGUGGAUGCCAAUCCCAAAAACCUCUCUCAGUUCGGACUGGAGUCUGCAACCCGACUCCACGAAGCUGGAUUCGCUAGUAAUCGCGCAUCAGCCACGGCGCGGUGAAUACGUUCCCGGGCCU